UUAGAAAACACUUUAUUGAUUAGUAAACACUUUAUUGACUAAUAGUGAGCAAACAAUACAGGCAAGUUUGGCAUUACACACAGAAACAGAUCAUUAAUCGGAAAAGCCAACUCAACAUCUUCCUUGUACAUUUACCGCAUCAAAGCCUGCAUGCAGCAGCCCAGCAGCUCUGAACUUGAGGUCCUCAACAACCUUGGUUUUGAAUCCUAACUUUCACCUGUGAGGCUUGGUCCAAGUGUUGGAUCUCUGUACAUCUCUGUUUUCGGAGGAUUAAAUGUCAAUCACAGUCCCUGCCACAUGGUCCUGAAUAUUAGUGGGCAUUCCAGGAAUAAAUUUCAAUACAUAAAGAAUGACCCAGUUCCUGCUUUUAUAGGAUUUGGUGGGGGAGAGUCAGGGAGAAGCAGGUAGUUAAAACAUGUUCUGUAUAAACACAGAACUGACGUAUGGAAAGUGCUAUGGUCAAGGACAGAGGGCUCAGCAUUUUCUGAGUACCUAUCCAAUGCCAGAUACUUUAAAAGGAUACGUGAGGGGGAUGUCACAACUGGUUGAGAGGGAAGGAGAAAUCCAGGAAGGCUUCCUAGAGAGGGGAGCAUUUGAGAUGAGCCUUGAAGGAUUAUCAGGAUUCCAGUAGCCUAGGUGCCCAACAUCAAUCUUUUAAAAAAUAACCUCAUCCAGGAAGAAUUGCCAGAGGAUUAAAAAUCAUGCUGAGUUCAAUCAAAAAUCACCACUGGAGUGUGAAAACAACUUUCCUAAUUAAGCAGUUCCAGAACAUUCCCAGCUUUGGGCUGCAUGAGUAGUGUCACAGAACUGUAACAUCCUGAGCAGGGUAGUAAGGUGCACCCUCCGCGGACAGUUACCAGGGUGGACCUGGAGAAGAGCAUUUUGGGUCUGACAUGGAGCACUGUGCUCAGGGGUCCUGUACCCCACAGUGGGAGGAUAUUAGCAAGCACCACCCACGAGACCUGAGCACCCAGACCUACACUGCUUUAGAAUAGACUGGCUUGCACUGAGGAUGUUUAAGGCGAAGGGUAAAGGAUGUUCCAUCUAGUUUAGUUUCACUGCAGCUCAUACUUGGAAACUCGAUAGACUGGGUGGCUGUCCAGCCCCUCGAGUCCCGAUAUUUCACUCUACGGAGAGUUACAAGCCCUGGUCAGACCCUAAAUAGCACUUACAGCUCCACCGUUAGCAGCUCAUCUUUCAGCACACAGGACUGAAAUCAUCCGUCACUGUCAGCUCUGAACAGUCACAGACAAAGGAAAGGAUGCAAUUUAGAAACAGGGCAUCUCUAUGUUUCUCCAAUGCUUGUGACUAUGCUCAUUUUAAGUUUAAUGAGAGGAAAGGCCUCUUGCCCAAGCGCCUAGGACCUAACUUGAAGAGUUCAGGGCAGAGGAUGGAGGGGACGCACAAGGACCACCACACGGGGGGCACAGACAGUUCCUGGGCAGCCAGAGCCCUGAUUACGGGCAGUUUUAUGAACAGGACAACAUGUCUUCCACAUCCUGUUCUCCCCACUUCUCCAGAAUCCAGACCUGAGUUACUGUAAAAGGUGUGUGUGUCGGGGGGGGGGGGGGGGGGGGCGGGUAAAGAAGGAAGAAAAGGAGAAGGAGAUGGAAAACAAUUCAAAAAAAAAAAACCCUUUGACAGAACCCGAUAACCCAGAGUACAUGGUGAUCGGCGCCGGACGGCAUACAAAAGCCAAAAGGCAGGUCCCAGGACGGGUCAACUUAAGACUUAAUAUUUGCCUUUCACUGAGCAAACUAAUAAAUCCCCUAUGGUUUUAGCCACGCAGAGCUCCUAGUUUUUAUUUAUUGGUCAGAACUGGAGGCACGUUUUUUUUUUUUCCCCUCCUCGUCACCAGGGCAAAUAGCAGUCCCCUGCCCACUCCUGUCAUCAGUCUGUAUGUCUAUUUGCUUUCUCCCUCAACAAACUCAUGUUCAGUGCAACUGACAACAAGUGCAAACAGCUUUGAAGUAUUCUUUGGUAAUGGACUUCCCCGGCCGGCCGUGCGGGGGCUUGUGCAGCUGAAGGCAAAGGAAGAAAGCCACUUGUCUAAGAACAGCAGACGUCAGCUGGUCAGGCAAGGCUCGGAACUUGACACAGGCGGGGACCUAGGAGGAUCAUCACGACCAACCACGUCCGUUUCCCUCUCCCACUUUACUGAUGAGAAAACUGAGACUCAGAGAACGGGCUUGAGUGACACGAUCUUGGAGCGACUGAAAGGAAGGCAGGACUGGAGUCCAGGUCUCUAGAUGCGCCUCUGCUCAGGGCUCUUUUCAGGCCUGGGCAGAGAUGGUCUUGCUCCAUCUGCUCUCUCCCUAAAGUGGAGGGUGGGGAGCCAGCCCUGCUUCCCAACAGCCUGGCAUGAAGGAGUCUCAUCCAAGGUCAGUAGGCAUUCCCAAGGUCACCCUAUGCCUUUUAAACCAUACCCUCCUGAGCAGAGGGACUUACUUCACCAUUAGAACCCCCUAUUUCUCCAUCAACACAUAGCUUUCCAGGAUCACUGCAAGAGGAUAAAACUUCCCUGUGGGUCACGUUUCAGUGUCAUGGGAAAAUCUCACAGCAAAGCUUGAACAAAAUCUUGGUGGGGGGGCACUAAUUUGAGGUUGUGUUCAUGAUGAAUUGAAGCAAGAUGCAUAUGUUCAGCAUGUGGAUGAAAUACCCUUACAUUGUACCUUGGGCAAUGUCUAAUACACUAUUCUCCUAUGGAACAGAAGUAGCAAAUCUUUAAGUCCUGAACUCUAUCAAAUAUGACAGCAUUAUUGAUGUCAGAGCUAGAAGAGGCUUCAGGGAUCAUGCGGCCCGACUCCCUCAUUUUACAGGGAAGGAACCAAGAUCAGCGGCUUUUUGAGACAAAAACGCAGGUCUCCUCGUCUCCCCAUUCUGUGCUUUCUAUCAGCAUAAGAUAUACUACCUGGAUCCAGAAGUAAGAGACGUACACAUGUCAGAGAGAGGGCAAAACGCAUUUGGCUCAAAAUCUCAUUAAGAAAUUGACAUUCAUGGUCACUUGGCAGCCCAUGAAUUGCUCUUUAAAAUUCUACGGCUUCCCACCAGGUUGAAUACCAUUCAACCUUCUCUCACAGUCCUCUCCCACUCUGCCAAGAAGGCUGCCUCCCCCAGGGCUGACUAUCCCCUGUUGGAUGUGGGAAAGGGGAUUCCUGCAUUAGUCAGAGGAGAUCUAGAUAAGAAUUAUGCUUUAGAUCACUUCAAGCUCCGGGAUGCCAGGAUUCCAUGUGGAUGAGAAGAUAAGGAGAGAGAGAGAAAAAGGAGAUUGUUGCCUUUGGCACAAUAGCAGGACUUCUGGAACCAAAGACCAUAAGUGGAACAUAAGUGAAGGAAACAUCUGAAAUGAGUUCAUCUUUUUAAAAAGAAAAAUGGCACCCAAAGAGCUGGGCUAGCCUUCCUUCCAUGACAGUGAAGGCAGUGAGAGUCAGAACAGGGGCAAAGACCCAGGUGCAUGGCGGGGAGGGGUCUUGAUCUUUACACAUGAGUAAUGAGAGGGUAGUUUCCAGAUGUCUGCAUGCUCAUCUCCACCUCGGCAUGCAAUGACCUCCCUGUGGCCACACCACGCAAGAUCAGCGGGAUUAGCUGGAAGCUCAUGUUCCAGCCCCACAGAUGCUCACACUUGUCUUUCAGCAGGAAAGAUGGAGGCCUGAUCCCCUGACAAGAAGCAACAACUUCAGGAAGGCAUGCAAUCCUGAAAGCCUGGCUUUGACUAACCUGAAAAGAACCUGUAAUUUGCCUUCAGGUUGUUCUUACUUGUCAUGAACACCAAAAAUUGGGCUGGCACCACCUUCCCCUCCUCCACCCCCCACUACCACCACCAAGUUCCGCUCCUUUAUCCCAGAUAAAGUCAGUGUCUGGAAAGGUACGAGUGAGCUGGGAGGUCCCAUUCAAGACUAUCUGAGAUGAACUCAAAGG
This 3918-nucleotide long non-coding RNA is filed under the name Equus caballus (horse). RNAcentral describes it as "lncRNA (ENSECAG00000044932.1)". Lineage: Eukaryota; Metazoa; Chordata; Mammalia; Perissodactyla; Equidae. The record is from RNAcentral.